CAUCCUAACAGAUGGUCUAUGCAGGUAUAGAGGCUGGUUACAUCACACGUAACAAGUAAAAAAUAGAUUUUAAAAUGGGAAAAUAAUUUUUUACUUGUUAUGUGUUAUGUAGCCAGCUCUACACCUGCAUAGACCAUCUGUUAGGAUG
Molecule: non-coding RNA, 148 nt
Organism: Pelobates cultripes (western spadefoot toad)
Lineage: Eukaryota; Metazoa; Chordata; Amphibia; Anura; Pelobatidae
Source: the annotation of a GenBank genome assembly